This 391-nucleotide long non-coding RNA is filed under the name Ananas comosus (pineapple). RNAcentral describes it as "long non-coding RNA (ACOM_LNC006565)". The record is from RNAcentral. Lineage: Eukaryota; Viridiplantae; Streptophyta; Magnoliopsida; Poales; Bromeliaceae.
CCCCACCAAACCCUUCAAUCCCAAACUCCUACCCAAACUCCCCAAUCGGUUUUCUUCGUCUUCUCCAACGCAAACCCUUGAACCGCCUCCCGAUCGGCGGAGCCCCGCGAUCGAGCUCUCGCCGACGAGUCCCGGAGAUCCGGGGCCCGAUUUCGCGCUAUCGAUCGGUGCGAGAUCGAUCACGAGAUCGCGAUUGGCGAGGGAGAAGGGGGGCGCGAUCGAGCGAGCGACCGAUCGAUCGAUCGAGGGUUUCCCCAGCCGCGAUCUUUUCCCUUCUUUUAUUGCGUCUUCCUCGCUGUGGGCCUCGUGGCGUUCUACCGCCGCGGAGAGAGGAAGAGAGAGAAAGAGAAAGAGAGAGAGAGAGAGAGGAGAGAGACAAAAAAAUGGAAAA